Molecule: long non-coding RNA, 204 nt
Filed under: Brassica napus (rape)
Lineage: Eukaryota; Viridiplantae; Streptophyta; Magnoliopsida; Brassicales; Brassicaceae
Description: long non-coding RNA (BNAP_LNC004495)
Source: RNAcentral
AGGUUGUUGAGAGUACCUUUUGUUUCCGGAUAUUUUUUAUCCAGUUUAGUUGUGUAAGUUGUGUACGUAUUAAGUAAUAUAUUUUCUUAUUCUUAUUAUGUUGGUUAUAUGUUUUUUUUAAACUUGUUGCUUUUAAUGGACCUUUAAAACAAAUACAUGAAGACUUAUAAAAAUAACUAUAAAAUGAGUGACAAUUAGUAUUUG